Molecule: ribosomal RNA, 503 nt
Filed under: uncultured bacterium
Lineage: Bacteria
Description: bacterial SSU rRNA
Rfam family: Bacterial small subunit ribosomal RNA
Source: RNAcentral
GAUCAUGGCUCAGGAUGAACGCUAGCUACAGGCUUAACACAUGCAAGUCGAGGGGCAGCAUGAACUUAGCUUGCUAAGUUUGAUGGCGACCGGCGCACGGGUGAGUAACACGUAUCCAACCUUCCGUUUACUCAGGGAUAGCCUUUCGAAAGAAAGAUUAAUACCUGAUAGUAUGGUGAGAUUGCAUGAUAACACCAUUAAAGAUUUAUCGGUGUACGAUGGGGAUGCGUUCCAUUAGGUAGUAGGCGGGGUAACGGCCCACCUAGCCAACGAUGGAUAGGGGUUCUGAGAGGAAGGUCCCCCACAUUGGAACUGAGACACGGUCCAAACUCCUACGGGAGGCAGCAGUGAGGAAUAUUGGUCAAUGGACGAGAGUCUGAACCAGCCAAGUAGCGUGAAGGAUGAAGGUCCUACGGAUUGUAAACUUCUUUUAUAAGGGAAUAAACCCUCCCACGUGUGGGAGCUUGUAUGUACCUUAUGAAUAAGCAUCGGCUAACUCCGUG